RNAcentral lists this long non-coding RNA (221 nucleotides) under Elaeis guineensis (African oil palm). Its description in RNAcentral is "long non-coding RNA (EGUI_LNC007007)". The record is from RNAcentral. Lineage: Eukaryota; Viridiplantae; Streptophyta; Magnoliopsida; Arecales; Arecaceae.
AAUUUCAACAUCUCAUAAAUACUAUUAAUCUCAAUUCGUACUAAUUAAUUUUAUAUUAAUAAAUAUCAACCUUAUAUAAUUUACAAAACUCGAUCAUCUAAUUGUUAUUGAUGGUGCUCUAUCUAAUCAAUCACCAUUUGAAUCUUUGCCAAGUACAAGCAUCUUAUAACUCUGAAAAAGAAAAAAAGGAGGAAAAAGAAUGGUGAGCUUUACAGCCCAGU